GAUGAACGCUGGCGGCGUGCCUAAUACAUGCAAGUCGAGCGAACAGACGAGUAGCUUGCUCCUCUGACGUUAGCGGCGGACGGGUGAGUAACACGUGGAUAAACUCCCUAUAAUACUGGGCUAACUUCGGGAAACCUGAGCUAAUACCGGAUACUAUAUUGAACCGCAUGGUUCAAUAUUGAUAGACGGUUUUGCUGUCUCUUAUAGAUGGAUCCGCGCCGCAUUAGCUAGUUGGCCAGGUAACGGCUUACCACGGGACCGAUGCGUAGCCGACCUGAGAGAGUGGUCGGCGGCACUGGAACUGAGACGCGGUCCAUACUCCUGCGGGAGGCACCAGACGGGAAUCGUCCGCAAUAGGCGAAAGCAUGACGGAAUAGGGCCGCGUCAGUUGUAACGAUGUUGGGUUCGUAAAACUCUGUUACUGGUGAAAAACAUAUGUCUAAGGAACUGUGCACUACGUGACGGUACCUAAUCAGAAAGCGACGGCUAACUACGUG
RNAcentral lists this ribosomal RNA (497 nucleotides) under uncultured bacterium. RNAcentral's name for it is "partial 16S ribosomal RNA". It matches the Rfam family "Bacterial small subunit ribosomal RNA", at positions 28 to 507 of the family's 1533-position model. The record is from RNAcentral.